UACGGAGGGUGCGAGCGUUGUCCGGAAUCACUGGGCGUAAAGGGCGCGUAGGCGGCCCGGUAAGUAGGGGGUGAAAUCUUGCGGCUUAACCGCAAGGCUGCCUCCUAAACUGCCAGGCUUGAGCACAGUAGAGGCAGGUGGAAUUCCCGGUGUAGCGGUGGAAUGCGUAGAGAUCGGGAAGAACAUCGGUGGCGAAGGCGGCCUGCUGGGCUGUUGCUGACGCUGAGGCGCGACAGCGUGGGGAGCAAACAGG
Molecule: ribosomal RNA, 253 nt
Filed under: uncultured bacterium
Lineage: Bacteria
Description: partial 16S ribosomal RNA
Rfam family: Bacterial small subunit ribosomal RNA
Source: RNAcentral